RNAcentral lists this transfer RNA (89 nucleotides) under bacterium. RNAcentral describes it as "tRNA-Ser". It matches the Rfam family "tRNA". Rfam says of the family: Transfer RNA (tRNA) molecules are approximately 80 nucleotides in length. The record is from RNAcentral. RNAcentral also lists the same sequence under 6 other names.
GGAGAGGUGGCCGAGAGGUCGAAGGCGCACGCCUGCUAAGCGUGUGUAGGGCUAAAACUCUACCGAGGGUUCGAAUCCCUCCCUCUCCG